Molecule: ribosomal RNA, 444 nt
Filed under: Marsenia perspicua complex sp. MNHN IM 2019-17699
Lineage: Eukaryota; Metazoa; Mollusca; Gastropoda; Littorinimorpha; Velutinidae
Description: partial large subunit ribosomal RNA
Rfam family: Bacterial large subunit ribosomal RNA
Source: RNAcentral
GCAUAAUCAUUUGUCUUAUAAUUGAAGUCUAGAAUGAAUGGCUUGACAAGAGUUAAGCUGUCUCUUAAUAUUCACUAAAAUUUCUAUUAUUAAGUUAAAAAGCUUAAAUACAAUUAAAAGACGAGAAGACCCUAUCGAGCUUAAGUACAAUUUUAAAGUCUCUUGCAUUAUAUGUAAACUUAAUAUUUACUAAAACUUUAGUUGGGGCGACUCGAGAACCUAUAAAGCUUCUUGUAAUUUUUAUAAUCUAUAAAUAUAGAUCCACAAUUUGUGAUCAGAAGAAUUAGUUACCGUAGGGAUAACAGCAUUAUCUUUUUUGAGAGCUCAAAUCGAAAAAAAGGUUUGUGACCUCGAUGUUGGACCAAGAUUUCCCGAAAAUGCAGAAGUCUUCAAAGGUUGGUCUGUUCGACCAUUAAAAUCUUACGUGAUCUGAGUUCAGACCGG